Molecule: ribosomal RNA, 497 nt
Filed under: uncultured bacterium
Lineage: Bacteria
Description: partial 16S ribosomal RNA
Rfam family: Bacterial small subunit ribosomal RNA
Source: RNAcentral
GAUGAACGCUGGCGGCGUGCCUAAUACAUGCAAGUCGAGCGAACAGACGAGGAGCUUGCUCCGCUGACGUUAGCGGCGGAGGGGUGAGUAACACGUGGAUAACCUACCUAUAAGACUGGGAUAACUUCGGGAAACCGGAGCUAAUACCGGAUAAUAUGUUGAACCGCAUGGGUCAGUAGGGAAGGACGGUUUUGCUGUGGCUUAUAGAUGGGGCCGCGCCGCAUUAGCUAGUGGGUAAGGUAACGGCUUACCAAGGCAACGAUGCGUAGCCGACCUGAGAGGGUGAUCGGCCACACUGUAACUGAGACACGGUCCAGACUCCUACGGGAGGCAGCAGUAGGGAAUCUUCCGCAAUGGGCGAAAGCUUGACGGAGCAACGCCGCGUGAGUGAUGAAGGUCUUCGGAUCUUAAAACUCUGUUAUUCGUGAAGAACAAAUGUGUAAGUAACUAUGCACGUCUUGACGGUACCUAAUCAGAAAGCCACGGCUAACUACGUG